This 795-nucleotide ribosomal RNA is filed under the name Triticum aestivum (bread wheat). Its description in RNAcentral is "partial small subunit ribosomal RNA". The record is from RNAcentral. Lineage: Eukaryota; Viridiplantae; Streptophyta; Magnoliopsida; Poales; Poaceae.
AUGCAUAAGCUUGUAAAUGUUCAUUAUUUGGACAAGACGACAUUUAUGCUUGGAAAUGACGAUGAAGGGGAAGAGGCUAUGGUUUUUGACACAAGUCCAAGCUUUUAUAAUCUUGUAGUUAAAGUGAGAAGCGUGUUACAUUGGAAUGACCCAAAUACGGAAGGUAAGCUUAUUGGGAGGUAUGACGUUGGAUUGGGAGUAAAGUCCCGAUUAAAGAGUAUGCCCAUCACCUCCCAAUUGCAUUGGAAUGUCUACAAGGAAAAAGUAGACGCAUCACAAGACAAGUCUCUUAAGAUCUUUGCCACAAAGGUUGAUCCUCCUCCCUUGCAAAUUGAUCUCAACCGCAAUGCAUCCUCCCCAAUACAUGAUGAUAGUGACGAGGUGUACAUCCCCAAUUGUUCUAGCCAACCACCAAGUAACCAACCUAAUGAAGAUCAUAUGAGUUAUAGUGCCAUAGUACUCCGCCAUGAUGCUAUUCCUCAUGUUGAAGAAGAUGUUAUUCCUCAUGUUGAAGAAGAUGCUAGUGGUCAUGUUGAUGAUGAUGCUAUUGUUGCUCGAGAGGAUGCUUACUCAGAGAAUGAAGAGAUCCAUUACAAUCCAAUUGGUAACUUGGAUGUCAUUGUGUGGCAACAAGACAUGGACCGUACCCUCCCUUAUAACCGUAUGUGUGGGUAUAACUCGGAUGACAAGGGUCCUGAGGAAGAAUUGGAUGAGGAUGGGUUGACUGCGCAAGAAAAUGAAAUCUACAAGAAGGGGACCGGCAAGGAGAGAGGGCCGCCUUUUUUAGGGAUGUGA